GAGUUUGAUCCUGGCUCAGGAUGAACGCUGGCGGCGUGCUUAACACAUGCAAGUCGAACGAACCUUCGGGUUAGUGGCGGACGGGUGAGUAACGCGUGAGAAUCUGCCCUCAGGAGGGGGAUAACAGCUGGAAACGGCUGCUAAUACCCCAUAUGCCGCGAGGUGAAAUGAAUUUCGCCUGAGGAUGAGCUCGCGUCUGAUUAGCUAGUUGGUGUAGGUAAAGGCUCACCAAGGCAUCGAUCAGUAGCUGGUCUGAGAGGAUGAUCAGCCACACUGGGACUGAGACCGGCCCAGACUCCUACGGGAGGCAGCAGUGGGGAAUUUUCCGCAAUGGGCGAAAGCCUGACGGAGCAACGCCGCGUGAGGGAUGAAGGCCUCUGGGCUGUAAACCUCUUUUAUCAAGGAAGAAGAUCUGACGGUACUUGAUGAAUAAGCCACGGCUAAUUCCGUGCCAGCAGCCGCGGUAAUACGGGAGUGGCAAGCGUUAUCCGGAAUUAUUGGGCGUAAAGCGUCCGCAGGCGGCCCUUCAAGUCUGCUGUUAAAAAGUGGAGCUUAACUCCAUCAUGGCAGUGGAAACUGUUGGGCUUGAGUGUGGUAGGGGCAGAGGGAAUUCCCGGUGUAGCGGUGAAAUGCGUAGAUAUCGGGAAGAACACCAGUGGCGAAGGCGCUCUGCUGGGCCAUCACUGACGCUCAUGGACGAAAGCCAGGGGAGCGAAAGGGAUUAGAUACCCCUGUAGUCCUGGCCGUAAACGAUGAACACUAGGUGUCGGGGGAAUCGACCCCCUCGGUGUCGUAGCCAACGCGUUAAGUGUUCCGCCUGGGGAGUACGCACGCAAGUGUGAAACUCAAAGGAAUUGACGGGGGCCCGCACAAGCGGUGGAGUAUGUGGUUUAAUUCGAUGCAACGCGAAGAACCUUACCAGGGUUUGACAUCCUGCGAAUCUCUUGGAAACGAGAGAGUGCCUUCGGGAGCGCAGUGACAGGUGGUGCAUGGCUGUCGUCAGCUCGUGUCGUGAGAUGUUGGGUUAAGUCCCGCAACGAGCGCAACCCACGUCUUUAGUUGCCAGCAUUUAGUUGGGCACUCUAGAGAGACCGCCGGUGAUAAACCGGAGGAAGGUGUGGGUGACGUCAAGUCAUCAUGCCCCUUACAUCCUGGGCUACACACGUACUACAAUGCUACGGACAAAGGGCAGCAAGUUCGCGAGGACAAGCAAAUCCCAUAAACCGUGGCUCAGUUCAGAUCGUAGGCUGCAACUCGCCUACGUGAAGGAGGAAUCGCUAGUAAUCGCAGGUCAGCAUACUGCGGUGAAUACGUUCCCGGGCCUUGUACACACCGCCCGUCACACCAUGGAAGUUGGCCACGCCCGAAGCCGUUACUCCAACCCUUGUGGAGGAGGACGUCGAAGGUGGGGCUGAUGACUGGGGUGAAGUCGUAA
Molecule: ribosomal RNA, 1435 nt
Filed under: uncultured cyanobacterium
Lineage: Bacteria; Bacillati; Cyanobacteriota
Description: bacterial SSU rRNA
Rfam family: Bacterial small subunit ribosomal RNA
Source: RNAcentral